GCAGAAACAUGCACAGACACCUCCACAUGUGAUACCACUGUCACAACAUGCGGAGGCACGGCAGCCCUUGCUUGCGUAAAUCGUGUAUGUACCUGUUCGAAUGGCGAUGGCACUGGAGCUCUAAACUGCACGAUGAAUGCUGACUGUCAUCACCAACACCUUCACCACUGCAACAAAGGUCACUGGAUGUGUCAAGCUGGCCAUUGUCAUUGCGGCCAGGCACCGUGAGAAUUGCUCCGCUGUUAAUUGUACACUACACACAAUAAAACUAAUCGCAA
Molecule: long non-coding RNA, 278 nt
Organism: Mya arenaria
Lineage: Eukaryota; Metazoa; Mollusca; Bivalvia; Myida; Myidae
Exons: 2
Source: RefSeq, a predicted model, not a curated record